This 163-nucleotide ribosomal RNA is filed under the name Sium repandum. Its description in RNAcentral is "5.8S ribosomal RNA". It matches the Rfam family "5.8S ribosomal RNA". From Rfam's summary of the family: 5.8S ribosomal RNA (5.8S rRNA) is a component of the large subunit of the eukaryotic ribosome. It is transcribed by RNA polymerase I as part of the 45S precursor that also contains 18S and 28S rRNA. The record is from RNAcentral. Lineage: Eukaryota; Viridiplantae; Streptophyta; Magnoliopsida; Apiales; Apiaceae. RNAcentral also lists the same sequence under 1 other name.
AAACGACUCUCGGCAACGGAUAUCCCGGCUCUCGCAUCGAUGAAGAACGUAGCGAAAUGCGAUACUUGGUGUGAAUUGCAGAAUCCCGUGAACCAUCGAGUCUUUGAACGCAAGUUGCGCCUGAGGCCACUAGGCCAAGGGCACGUCUGCCUGGGUGUCACGC